AGAGUUUGAUCAUGGCUCAGAACGUACGCUGGCGGCACGCCUAACACAUGCAAGUCGAACGAAGUAGCAAUACUUAGUGGCAGACGGGUGAGUAACAUGUAGGUAUCUGCCCUAUGGCCUGGAAUAACACGAGGAAACUUGUGCUAAUACCGGAUAAGUCUUUACGGAGAAAGCUUUAUGCACCAUUGGAUGAGCCUGCAUUUGAUUAGUUUGUUGGUGGGGUAAUGGCCUACCAAGACUGUGAUCAAUAGCUGAUUUGAGAGGAUGAUCAGCCACAUUGGGACUGAGACACGGCCCAAACUCCUACGGGAGGCAGCAGUGGGGAAUCUUGCACAAUGGAGGAAACUCUGAUGCAGCGAUGCCGCGUGAGUGAAGAAGGCCCUUGGGUUGUAAAGCUCUUUCGUCGGGGAAGAAAAUGACUGUACCCGAAUAAGAAGGUCCGGCUAACUUCGUGCCAGCAGCCGCGGUAAUACGAAGGGACCUAGCGUAGUUCGGAAUUACUGGGCUUAAAGAGUUCGUAGGUGGUUGAAAAAGUUGGUGGUGAAAUCCCAGAGCUUAACUCUGGAACUGCCAUCAAAACUUUUCAGCUAGAGUAUGAUAGAGGAAAGCAGAAUUUCUAGUGUAGAGGUGAAAUUCGUAGAUAUUAGAAAGAAUACCAAUUGCGAAGGCAGCUUUCUGGAUCAUUACUGACACUGAGGAACGAAAGCAUGGGUAGCGAAGAGGAUUAGAUACCCUCGUAGUCCAUGCCGUAAACGAUGUGUGUUAGACGUUGGAAAUUUAUUUUCAGUGUCGCAGCGAAAGCGAUAAACACACCGCCUGGGGAGUACGACCGCAAGGUUAAAACUCAAAUGAAUUGACGGGGACCCGCACAAGUAGUGGAGCAUGUGGUUUAAUUCGAAGAUACGCGCAGAACCUUACCAACACUUGACAUGUUCGUCGCGACUUUAAGAGAUUAAAGUUUUCGGUUCGGCCGGACGAAACGCAGGUGCUGCAUGGCUGUCGUCAGCUCGUGUCGUGAGAUGUUGGGUUAAGUCCCGCAACGAGCGCAACCCUCACUUUUAGUUGCCAUCAUUAAGUUGGGCACUCUGAAAGAACUGCCAGUGAUAAGCUGGAGGAAGGUGGGGAUGACGUCAAGUCCUCAUGGCCCUUACGUGUUGGGCUACACACGUGCUACAAUGGUAUCUACAACAGGAAGCAAGACUGCGAAGUUAAGCAAAUCCUUAAAAGAUACCUCAGUUCGGAUUGCACUCUGCAACUCGAGUGCAUGAAGCUGGAAUUACUAGUAAUCGUGGAUCAGCGUGCCACGGUGAAUGCGUUCCCGGGUCUUGUAGA
RNAcentral lists this ribosomal RNA (1332 nucleotides) under uncultured bacterium. Its description in RNAcentral is "bacterial SSU rRNA". It matches the Rfam family "Bacterial small subunit ribosomal RNA". The record is from RNAcentral.